GAAAAACUUCACUCUCUCGCUUCUUCACACAAAAACAUCACCAGACUCUCUCUCUCUCUUUCCCCUCUCCCUCCCUAACACAUAGGGCUUCGUUCCCUCCUUUCUUUCUCUUUCAUCGGAUCUGUCUUCUCUCCGAUCUCCCCAAUCCCCCACAGAUCGCAACUUCAACGCACUCUCCAUAACCAACAACAUACCCAUACUCCCAUUUACCAAAAUAACUACAAUACUUCCUACCAAAUUUAACCAUUUCCAUUGCCUUCUCUCUUCUCUUCCUUUCCAUUUCCAUUUUUUUCCUUUAUUCCAAUGGAUACCAAAUGCCCCUAGAGGUUUCACAAUGACCGCCCAGAGAUGAGCAGGAACACCCACAACUGCCAUAAGGACGAAGAAGCAGAAGAAGAAGAGGA
This 404-nucleotide unclassified non-coding RNA is filed under the name Hevea brasiliensis (rubber tree). Lineage: Eukaryota; Viridiplantae; Streptophyta; Magnoliopsida; Malpighiales; Euphorbiaceae. The record is from RNAcentral.